GCGAACCGCCCCGGAAAGGAAUGCCGACCUAUUCGUACUUCUACUCCAGAACCGUGGCCGGCGACGACGGGAACGUCAAGACCCACAAGUUCUCCAAGGGAAGUCCGGGACUGCUGGAACUGCCUCUGGACGUGUGGGAGACCCUCGGUCGAUACAAGCUCCUUUCCCGAGUUCUGAGAGGAGGGCUCUCCGGAUCGGGGGACGUACAUCACCCAGGCAACAUCGUCUUCAAGUUAGGGGAGAAAGGAUCCGGUAUAAGGCUAAGCGCUGCCGUUCAAGAUUUUAAUCAAUUGAGGCAACGAUGUCUAGAAACGGGAACUCUAUUCGAGGACCCAGAGUUCCUGGCACAAGAUUCGUCGCUUUACUACUCACGCAGACCUGACAGAUAUAUAGAUUGGAGACGUCCAAUGGAAAUCGCGGAUGACCCUCGACUCUUUGUCGAAGGAUUUUCAAGAUUCGACGUUCAACAGGGUGAACUUGGAGAUUGUUGGUUACUAGCUGCUGUCGCAAAUCUCACUAUGCAUCCUCAUUUGUUUUUUCAAAUAGUACCUGAAGAUCAAAGUUUUGAAGAAAACUAUGCAGGAAUAUUUCAUUUCAGGUUUUGGCAGUAUGGCAGGUGGGUCGACGUAGUAAUCGACGAUCGGUUACCGACGUAUAACGGUGAACUGAUGUAUCUACACUCCGCGGAGAGAAAUGAAUUUUGGAGUGCUUUACUUGAGAAAGCUUACGCGAAACUUCACGGCUCCUACGAGGCUCUCAAAGGUGGAACCACCUGCGAAGCAAUGGAGGAUUUUACAGGAGGAGUUACCGAAAUGUACGAGAUGGACGAAACACCUCCAAAUUUGUUUGGCAUUCUGCUUAAAGCAUACGAGAGGAACUCUUUGAUGGGUUGCUCGCUCGAGCCAGAUCCAAAUAUUUUGGAAGCUGAAACACCCCAAGGAUUGAUCAGGGGUCAUGCCUACAGUAUUACCCGCGUUAAGUACGUAGACAUUCAGACACCGAAUCAAAUUGGGAAAAUUCCUUUGCUACGACUGCGAAACCCUUGGGGCAACGAAGCCGAAUGGAACGGUCCAUGGAGCGAUCAAUCACCGGAGUGGAGAUUCAUUCCAGAUCAUGAGAAGGACGAGCUAGGUUUGACAUUCGACAUGGACGGCGAGUUUUGGAUGUCCUUCCAGGAUUUUAAACACUACUUUACUAGGUUGGAGAUCUGCAAUUUAAAUCCCGAUUCUUUGACGGAAGACGACCUCAAUGCUGGAAAAAAGAAAUGGGAAAUGAGUGUAUUCGAAGGAGAGUGGGUACGAGGUGUAACGGCUGGCGGUUGUCGAAACUUUUUAGAAACUUUUUGGCAUAAUCCACAGUACCGUGUCACAUUGGAAUAUCCAGAUGAAGGUGAUGACAAAUGUACAGUAAUCGUUGCAUUAAUGCAGAAAAAUAGGAGAGCUCAGAGAAGGAUGGGCGCCGACUGUCUUACCAUCGGUUUCGCCAUCUAUCAUUUGGAGUAUCCCGAUAGACUGCCAAAGCCUUUGGAUAUAAAUUUCUUUAAGUACAAUGCAUCUGUGGCUAGAUCACCGUCUUUUAUAAAUCUACGAGAAGUCAGUUGCCGGUUCAAGUUACCGCCUGGCGUAUACUGUAUCGUACCGAGCACUUUUGAUCCGAACGAGGAAGGCGAAUUCUUACUGAGGAUAUUCUCCGAGAACAAAAACAACAUGGAGGAAAAUGACGAGGAGGUGGGAAUUGGUGAAAUCGACGAUAGGGUAAAGGAACGACCCGAACCGGACCGAAACGAAGAAAAGGUACGUGACUUCUUCAGAAAGCUUGCAGGUGACGACAUGGAGGUCGACUGGAUGGAACUGAAGGAAAUUUUGGACUAUGCCAUGCGAAAAGAAACCCAUAACGAAGGAUUUAGCAAGGACAUAUGUCGUAGUAUGGUUGCCAUGCUGGAUGUCGAUCAUUCAGGGAAACUUGGCUUUGAGGAGUUCAAGACAUUGUGGGCUGAUAUUCGGAGUUGGAGGGCCGUAUUUCAAUUAUACGACAGGGAUGGCUCGGGUGUUUUGAGUGCAUUUGAAUUGAGGCAAGCCCUGAACAGUGCCGGCUACCGACUCAAUAAUCACAUACUUAAUAUUUUGGUACAUCGAUACGGGACCAAGGACGGAAUGAUCGCAUUCGAUGAUUUCAUCAUGUGCGCAGUCCGUCUCAAAACGAUGAUAGGUAACUACCUUCCUGAAAUCAUUGAAUAAAGGUGCACUUUGUCACUAAUAGUUACGAGAUAACUGGAAAGGUGACAUGAUGUUAUAUUUUCCGAGAAAGAGAUCCAGAUAGUACUAACUCUGCAACAUUUACAAUGGAGGAAUGGGUGGAAAAGACCCUAUAUUCAUAACGAGAUAGAUUUAUGAAUGUUAUUUAUACACUGGCGGUCAUUAAAUGGCUUCCUCGUGUACAUGGUGCAGCCUGGUGGUGGUAACGUAAACGUAACGUAAAACACGAGCUCGAGAACUUAUGUACUUGCGGUACAUGAUGUAUAAUAGACUGUAAAAUAAUUAAUGUAAUAAAGCAACUUAUAGAACGAU
This 2567-nucleotide unclassified non-coding RNA is filed under the name Orussus abietinus. RNAcentral's name for it is "calpain-A, transcript variant X3". Lineage: Eukaryota; Metazoa; Arthropoda; Insecta; Hymenoptera; Orussidae. The record is from RNAcentral.